GAUGCAGUGAAAAUCGUAUGAUUAGAUUCUAUAAUGAGCAUUCCUCCAAAAGGACCAUCCUUCUUGUUCUUCAAGGUGGUCAGGUACUGAGGAUAGUUCUAUUUUCAAUGGCCGUCUGAAUUGCAGUGAAAAUAUUUUCUCUUUUUCAGUAGCCUUCUUCUUUGAUUCCGUCUUCUUUUUCUUCCCAUCAACUUUCUGCUUCUUCGCAGACUUCUUCUUCUUUCUAAAAAACUUUCUCUUGGA
Molecule: long non-coding RNA, 243 nt
Filed under: Elaeis guineensis (African oil palm)
Lineage: Eukaryota; Viridiplantae; Streptophyta; Magnoliopsida; Arecales; Arecaceae
Description: long non-coding RNA (EGUI_LNC059137)
Source: RNAcentral